Molecule: long non-coding RNA, 858 nt
Organism: Oncorhynchus kisutch (coho salmon)
Lineage: Eukaryota; Metazoa; Chordata; Actinopteri; Salmoniformes; Salmonidae
Exons: 4
Source: RefSeq, a predicted model, not a curated record
AGAGAGUGAGCGAGCGAGAAAGAGAGAGAGAAAGGGAGAUAGAGAACACUGGUGUAUAGAGAGCAGGAACUGGGAGUAAGAGUAGGGUGGAAUUCACACGGAAUAUUCAGCUGUACAUUUCGUUGGAUAUAUAUGUUUUCAUAAUUAUUGCGACGUGGACACUGUUUCUCUUGUCUCAGAUGUGAUCGUGUUUCCAUCACAUCACUGCCCCCGGUGUCCAGUGAGUGACAACUACAGUGGAUAUUAUUUAACUCCGCCAGAACAGCCGUCAGUAAGCCUUCACUUUCGAGGUUUUGGAGUCGAUCAAUUAAUUUAAUUGGAAAAUACAUUCCCAACAUGGCUACGGAUCAAGAAAAUAAUAAACAGCGUAUGAUAAAGCUGUUGGAGAGACCGGGGAACGGGAGCUGUGUGGAUUGCGGAGCUGCAGACCCGGAGUGGGCGUCCUACACCCUGGGUGUGUUUGUGUGUCAGAGCUGCUCGGGUCUCCAUAGAAACAUCUCCCAGAUCAGCAAAGUCAAGUCUGUCCUGCUGGACCCAUGGAGUGAUGCAGAGGUAGAGUUCAUGGCGUCCAACGGAAACAAUGCUGCUAAAGCCAAAUAUGAACAGAAGGUGCCUGUUUUCUACUACCGUCCAACACACACAGACUGCCAGCUCCUUCGGGAACAGUGGAUAAGAGCCAGAUACGAGAGGAAGGAGUUUGUGUGUGUGGAGAGACAGGAGCCUUACUCUGCAGGUAAGACUGAGUACACACACACAAACACAUGCACAUAUGCAUUCAAACAAGCACGUUUGCAUGCAUACAAACAAGCACGCUCGCAUGCACACACACACACACACACACACACACACACACACACA